UGAAGAAGUGCUUGGCCAAGAGAAUGGCGUGU
Molecule: non-coding RNA, 32 nt
Filed under: Mus musculus (house mouse)
Lineage: Eukaryota; Metazoa; Chordata; Mammalia; Rodentia; Muridae
Source: RNAcentral